UUUGUCUUAACUCAGUAACAUAGAUAUGUUACUAACUAAACACACCAUUCUUUAGAUUUCACUAGUGUUUCACUAAUGAUUUUGUGUUCCAAAAUGUCAUCUAGGAUACCACGUUACACUCAAUUGGCAUGUCCCCUUAGCUUCCACUGGUCUGUGACAAUUUCUCAGACCUUCCAUGUUUUUGAUUACCUUGACAGUUUUGAGGAGUCCUUGUCAAGUAUUUUGUAGAAUAUUCCUCAGUUUGGGUUUCUGAUACCUUUUUUUUUAUGGUUACACUGGUGUUAGAGGUUUUUUGUAGGAAAACUGCAGAGAUAAAAUGUUAUCAUACGGAUAGUGUAUGCUGUCAACAUGAGUGAUCACUGACAGUGCCAACCUUGAUCACCUGGUCGAGGUGGUGUCCCUCAAAAGCAUGUGUAGCAAGUACCAUGCUGGCUACUUGGUAACUAUUUCUUCUAUAAAUCACUAACCUAUCAAAUUGUACAUAAAAUAAGAUCAGAAUCCUUUUUAUGUGUUUUUUAUUUUAAUGUUGGAAACAAUAGAAGUGCAGAUAGGUUGAAAAUCGUAGCACCCAAAAGAAGAGCCUGAAGCUGAUGCAGUUCAUAGUCCACAUUUUUGGUUUUUGGUGAUUGUUGGAAUAAGACUGAAUCAAUGCCCUUUUCUUUGCUCCCUGGGAUCUACAUUCAGGAUUUUGUCUUCUUUCAUCCUGAGAGUGGUGCCCAACUCUUCUGUACCUCUUAAUCCCUGGUGUUUGGACCCUGAGAUAUGAAAGGACUGAAGGAAAGUUUGCACUUCAUGAGUCAGUCAACCCAGAAGUUAGUCUAUUAAAUCAGCUAACAGAAGGAUUGCCACAGCUGAGAAACUGUCCCAAGUGCUUUACAUGCAUCUAUUCGUUUAAUUGUCACAACAAUCCAGUGAGGUAAGGACUCUUACAGGGAGGACAAUGAGACAGUGAAUGACCUGCCCAAGGCCACACAUCUGGCACAGCACCAGCCCCAGCUAAACUUCUCUGUAAGGAUGGCAUGUGUCUGCUCCUCUUCCCUUGGGAUCAGGGAAGAUAAGUGAAGAAACUGAGUGUCCUUGAUCUCGAGAUACUGUCAGACUAUCAUUGUAUACCUGAAAAAGGAAAUUUAAGAGGACCUCAUCCAGGAUAUCACAUUACAUUUAGUCAUCAAGUGUCUCUAAGACUCGUCUUGGUUACAGCAGUUUCCUCAGACUUUCCUUCCUUUUGCUGACCUUGAUAGUUUUGAGGAGUAUGGAUGACACGUGUGGGCUUAACAGAGAGUGGGUGGCCAAGAAGCUGCAAACAUCCUGCGUUCGGGCAUCUGUUGUCCCAGGCUGCCCAUGCAGAGGUGGAGCCUCAGGUCAGCUGGCGAGUCAUGGAAUGCAGCGCGCCUCUGCAAUUGUUUUCUUCAAGAAAGGAGAGCAGAGAUUUCUCCAUUCUCUUCCCCUCCUCCGUCCUCG
RNAcentral lists this long non-coding RNA (1461 nucleotides) under Equus asinus (donkey). Its description in RNAcentral is "lncRNA (ENSEASG00005032566.1)". The record is from RNAcentral. Lineage: Eukaryota; Metazoa; Chordata; Mammalia; Perissodactyla; Equidae.